RNAcentral lists this ribosomal RNA (1253 nucleotides) under Riemerella anatipestifer. RNAcentral's name for it is "bacterial SSU rRNA". It matches the Rfam family "Bacterial small subunit ribosomal RNA", at positions 108 to 1369 of the family's 1533-position model. The record is from RNAcentral. Lineage: Bacteria; Pseudomonadati; Bacteroidota; Flavobacteriia; Flavobacteriales; Weeksellaceae.
GCGGAACACGUGUGCAACCUGCCUUUAUCUGAGGGAUAGCCUUUCGAAAGGAAGAUUAAUACCUCAUAAUAUACUGAUUGGCAUCAAUUAGUAUUGAAAGCUCCGGCGGAUAGAGAUGGGCACGCGCAAGAUUAGAUAGUUGGUGAGGUAACGGCUCACCAAGUCAAUGAUCUUUAGGGGGCCUGAGAGGGUGAUCCCCCACACUGGUACUGAGACACGGACCAGACUCCUACGGGAGGCAGCAGUGAGGAAUAUUGGACAAUGGGUGCAAGCCUGAUCCAGCCAUCCUGCGUGAAGGACGACGGCCCUAUGGGUUGUAAACUUCUUUUGUACAGGGAUAAACCUACCCUCGUGAGGGUAGCUGAAGGUACUGUACGAAUAAGCACCGGCUAACUCCGUGCCAGCAGCCGCGGUAAUACGGAGGGUGCAAGCGUUAUCCGGAUUUAUUGGGUUUAAAGGGUCCGCAGGCGGGCUAGUAAGUCAGUGGUGAAAGCCUACAGCUUAACUGUAGAACUGGCGUUGAUACUGCUAGUCUUGAGUAUAGUUGAGGUAGCUGGAAUGAGUAGUGUAGCGGUGAAAUGCAUAGAUAUUACUCAGAACACCGAUUGCGAAGGCAGGUUACCAAGUUAUAACUGACGCUGAGGGACGAAAGCGUGGGAGCGAACAGGAUUAGAUACCCUGGUAGUCCACGCCGUAAACGAUGCUAACUCGUUUUUGGGCUUUAGGGUUCAGAGACUAAGCGAAAGUGAUAAGUUAGCCACCUGGGGAGUACGACCGCAAGGUUGAAACUCAAAGGAAUUGACGGGGGCCCGCACAAGCGGUGGAUCAUGUGGUUUAAUUCGAUGAUACGCGAGGAACCUUACCAAGGCUUAAAUGGGAAUUGGCAGCUGUAGAAAUACGGUUUUCUUCGGACAAUUUUCAAGGUGCUGCAUGGUUGUCGUCAGCUCGUGCCGUGAGGUGUUAGGUUAAGUCCUGCAACGAGCGCAACCCCUGUCACUAGUUGCCAUCAUUAAGUUGGGGACUCUAGUGAGACUGCCUACGCAAGUAGCGAGGAAGGUGGGGAUGACGUCAAAUCAUCACGGCCCUUACGCCUUGGGCCACACACGUGAUACAAUGGCCGGUACAGAGGGCAGCUACACUGCGAAGUGAUGCAAAUCUCGAAAGCCGGUCUCAGUUCGGAUUGGAGUCUGCAACUCGACUCUAUGAAGCUGGAAUCGCUAGUAAUCGCGCAUCAGCCAUGGCGCGGUGAAUAC